AGGACGAACGCUGGCGGCGCGCUUAACACAUGCAAGUCGAGCGGAAAGGCCCUUCGGGGUACUCGAGCGGCGAACGGGUGAGUAACACGUGAGUAAUCUGCCCCUAGCUCUGGGAUAGCUCCGGGAAACCGGGAUUAAUACCGGAUACGACCACCUUAGACAUCUUUUGUGGUGGAAAGAAUUUCGGCUAGGGAUGAGCUCGCGGCCUAUCAGCUUGUUGGUGGGGUAACGGCCUACCAAGGCGACGACGGGUAGCCGGCCUGAGAGGGCGACCGGCCAACGACGUGGGACUGAGACACGGCCCAGACUCCUACGGGAGGCAGCAGUGGGAAUAUUGCGCAAUGGGCGAAAGCCUGACGCAGCGACGCCGCGUGGGGGAUGAAGGCCUUCGGGUUGUAAACCCUUUCAGCAGGGACGAAGCGAAAGUGACGGUACCUGCAGAAGAAGCGCCGGCUAACUACGUGCCAGCAGCCGC
This 475-nucleotide ribosomal RNA is filed under the name uncultured bacterium. RNAcentral describes it as "SSU rRNA". It matches the Rfam family "Bacterial small subunit ribosomal RNA", at positions 26 to 518 of the family's 1533-position model. The record is from RNAcentral.